This 1299-nucleotide long non-coding RNA is filed under the name Sus scrofa (pig). RNAcentral describes it as "lncRNA (ENSSSCG00055015550.1)". Lineage: Eukaryota; Metazoa; Chordata; Mammalia; Artiodactyla; Suidae. The record is from RNAcentral.
UUUUUCCCAUAGUCUGUUUUAUUUAAUAAUUUUUUUUCCAUUAUAGCUGGUUUACAGUGUUCUGUCAAUUUUCUACUGUAUAGUAAGGUGACCCAGUCACACAUACAUGUAUACAUUCCUUUUUCUCACAUUAUCAUGCUCCAUCAUAAGUGACUAGAUAUAGUUCACAGUGCUAUACAGCAGGAUCUCAUUGCUUACCCAUUCCACAGGCAGUAGUUUGCAUCUAUUAACCUCAAAUUCCCAGUCCAUCCCAUUCUCUCCCCCUUGGCAACCACAAGUCUGUUCUCUAUGUCCAUGAUUUUCUUGUCUGUGGAAAGGUUCAUUUGUACCAUAUGUAAGAUUCCAGAUAUGUGAUAUCAUAUGGUAUUUGUCUUUCUCUUUCUGAUUUACUUCACUCGGUAUGAGAGUCUUUAGGUCCAUCCAUGUUGCUGCAAAUGGCAUUAUUUUGUUCUUUUUUAUGACUGAGUAGUUUUCCAUUGUAUAUAUAUAUACCACAUCUUCUUAAUCCAUUCAUCUGUUGAUGGACAUUUAGAUUGUUUCCAUGCCUUGGCUAUUGUGAAUAGUGCUGCAGAGAACAUACAGAUCCAUGUGUCUUUUUCAAGGAAAGUUUUGUCUGGAUAGAUGCCCAAAAGUAGGAUUGCUGGGUCAUAUGGUAGUUCUGUAUAUAGUUUUCUAAGGUUCCAUUUAGUUCCUUGUAAGUCCAUUUUUGGCCAUCAAUGUAAGAUGUAUAGGAAGCCACUGAAAGUUUUGAGCAAAGAAGUGUCAUGGUCUGAGUUACUUUAAUACUCUGAUUUUUGUACUAAGAACAGAACAAGGUGGGACAAAGAUAGAGAAAAGAGACCCUUCUUUCAGAUGCAUAAUACAAGGAAGAUAGGAGAGUAGCUCUAAUAAGAGCAGCAUCUUAUAAGAGUGGAGGUGAUAAUGUAGUCAGAUUAUUGAUACAUUUUGAAAAUAGAACCUCAGAACUUUUGACAUUUGGAAGUGGGCUAUGAUGGAAAGAAGUCAAAGAUAACACCCAAAUAUUUGGAUUGAGCAACUGGGAGAAUCUAAUUUCCGUAUACUGAGAUAAGGUAUGAAUUUUAGUGACUUCAACAUAUACCAUUAAAUAAAUCAUGAGAAUGGACACAAUCAUAGAAAAAAAGAUGUCCUAAAACUCAUCCUUCUGGGGUACUCCAACAUUCAGAGAUCGAGCAGAUGAGGACAAAACCAUAAAAUAGACCGAGAAGGCCAGAAAGGUAGGAAGGAUUGUGGUGUAAUGAAAGUCAAGUUAAGGUGUUUCAAGAAGGGAAUGACUCCUAU